GGCUCGUAGUAACAGAGCGAAAAUGGCGUAGAGCGGAGGCUGUGCGGAGACAGGGGACGAGGGGACCUUCUCCUCUCCGGGUAGUGAGGAGAGGGAAAAGAGGGGCCAUGCGGUUUUUUGGUUUAUUCUUCUUUAAGUAUGACCUCACACGGCGCGGUCACUCUAUAUAGAAUGAGCCCGGCAUACGUCCAGUCCGGGAGACCUGGACGUGUCUCGGUAGAGGAAGAAACCGCCGUGGCUUUUGUUUACCAUGUUGAGCCGCAGCAGCUCGAGCCCCAGAGGAAAUACCUCCGCAUCAAUUAGGACCAACUGUCACACCAAGGAUGGGUUUCCCAUUCAAUGCAGCUGUGAAACCAGCUGAAGCCCCAACCGGAGGAACAUCAGCCCCAGCACCAUCGACGGACCACUUCCACGGCCGCCCACGCUUUUGGAGGUAAAGGAUGAAGAGGCAUUGUGAAGAUGACCUCUUUUUGGGGGCUUUUGGGACAUGGGUGCCCUCCUGGGACAUUGUCUCUCUCUCUGUCUCCUCCUCCUCUUCUUGCAGCAUGAUCAUCUUUCAGGACAUCUGCCAAGAUUGUGGGCUAGAGUGACUUCCACCAAGCACACUCUGACUACGUCUACAUGUAGCAAAACGCUGGCUUUGCGGUCACUAAACUGGCUGAAAGGCCGGGGAGUUUCAGUUCUCCGUGUAAUGGCCUGGAAGACUCCAUCAUUUGGGCAUUUUCAGUCAGAUUUGGGUUAGAUUCGUAUCAGUCUGCAUGUAAACGUAGUCACUGAUGCUUUCCUGAAAAGGUCAAAAGAAAAUCCCCCACAUGUUCUAUAAUUAAAUCAGAGCAGCUGGACAAACUGCUCCUGUUACCUGGGAAAAGAGUAAUGACGCAACAAACUGUAGCAAAGAUCAAGGCCUGUGAUUAAAUUCGAUUCAUAGGGUGUUUUUAUUUUUUUUUUUUUUUUGGUUUUUGCACUACCUCAUCGCCCUAACAAGUCCAACAGGAGUGAAUGGGUGCGUGAUCGAUAAAAGUGACUUAAUGGUUGUCAAGCGCCACAGCAGUUUUAUGUGCUGUUACUGGUCAAAUUUAGUCAAAUAAGGGACGUAGUCGACAGGCGAGCAGGAGCAGCCGGCAGCACGCGAUUCAACCAUUUUGAGGAAAACGUCGACUCACUCAAACUGUGGUCCCCUAUGCAUCUGUUCCAAAGGAAGGUCACAAGAUAGUAUUUUUACUCCACAAUCUCAUUUUUUUUCCAUUUUGGUGCUCUCCUUUGUCAAGUCUGCAGGUUUAUUCACAAUUUGAAGAUAAUAUUCCUGUUGUGACUUAGUCCUUGGAAUCCCCCCCCCCCCUCCCACCUUAACAUGAGCUCUCCUAUAAGAGACUGAUUCUGAACACACUGCAGGUAGAGACAGAAUUGACUAUUUGAUGCCUUUUAUGGCAUAAACCAUGAGACAAAAUCACUCAAAAAAGUAAUUGUAUCGGGCUUAUCAACCAUAAUGCUCUGUCUCUACCUGCCGUGUCCAUGUGUCCAUGUGUCCAUGUGUCCAGUAAGCAGAGAUACCAGCGCUGAAGUAGCAGCUCCUUUUGAUUCAAGCUUUUAUUGGAUUCCUCCUUACCUGAAAGAAACCCUGGUCUCAUUUCUUCAACUUUUUCUUCUUUUGGGAUCAUUUAAAAAAAAAAAAAAAAAAAAUCACAUUUAAUCGGGAUUUGUGCAAUAUUUGAUCUUAACUGUCAUGUUGUUGACCAAACUGUAUAUUGUAUAAACAAGUGACACGUUGUUUGAAAGCAACAAAAUCACCAAUGUCUUCCAUUAAGAUAUGUAUAGACUCAUGUGCAUUAGCCUAUUUAGCGGGACUGUGGUGCCAACAUUAUAGUGGCCAUGCAUGACCAGUUGUGAUGCUUGCUUUUUGAAAACUACUUAAAUCAAUUUCUAGACUAAGCUGGAGCUCAAAACUGUGGGAACCAUUUCAGUCACAUGAAAGGCUGGUAGAUUGACGUACGCCACAUUUAGACACAGCUUGGCCCUAAAAUCUUAGACUAAUGUCAGAUCUCCCUUUUAUUCCAUGUCCUGGGUGUAGAAUAAGUUGCAUAACAAAGUACAAUAUAAGUAUAACACAAUCAGGGUAUGCAGUUAAUUGUUGAUUCAAGUUCAUAUAGGUGUAUAUUCUCAAUAUAAGUAAGUGCUUUCUAACAGAAGGAAAAAAAGUAGAUGCCCUAAAUUGUAUUCAUGCACUCUUAAGCAUAAAAAAUGAAUAAGGUAGGAAGUAUGCAACAACCAAAAAGAUCCCAGAUGUGACUGGUACAAACCUUUUUAGGAAAAAAUACAACCUAAUAUUAAGAGUAGUGCUUUAAUCCUAGAUUUGGGUAUAAUUGGUAGGGACGCGACGUAGUGCUUAAGUCCUAGAAUUAGGAUCUCAUCUUGACAUUGUAUUGUACAUAAUACCUCAUAGUCUUGGGAUUCAGAGCGAGAUAUUUUAAUCCAUACAAUUGUAUUUGAUUAUAGUUUUAGAAGCAAUAACCUACAAUAAUGCAUGAGUUUAGUGCCAGGGUGUAAGUGUUUAAAGGAGUGUGUAAUGUCCCCUUCCCCGUGCUCUCGUUUAUGCCUUCGGUAGCAAUCUAUUAGUCACUUUUAUGGGGGGAGUCGAUUUAAUAUUUGGCUUUAGAAUACAGUAUCACUUGGGUCGGGACACUUCCUGCAGAACAAGGUACACGCGAGGACAGCUGUAGCAUCAUGUCUUACAGAGCCAAAUGACCUGCCUUGUAUUCUUUCCACACCAAAACAAUAAUUGAAACCAAUCGGUACAUGAGAGAUGCUUUCAAUUUCAAUUCUUGUAGCAUUUUUUUACAUCUACAAAAACCCACCCCACAUUUUAGAAAUAGACUUUCAGUAACUCUGUGGCUGCAAAGGACUUAUUGAAUGAACUUGACACGUCUGAAAAGCACUUUCUCUCUCUCUCUCUCUCUCUCUCUCUCUACUGACUUGCACUGUCAUCAUCACCAUCCUGUCUUGAAUACUGUGUUCUAAAAACCCUGUAAUGCUCUAUGUGGGGAUUUAUAAUCACAAUCUAUAAGCAAAUAGGCGUCUAGCAACAAGAAUAAAUGGGUUUAGAAAAUAUGCAUGACAUAGCAGAAUACUGAAUGAUUUGUAUUGCAUGCAAUAAUCCAACUUUGUAAUGUGAAUGGGUGUAAUUAGGCUAUUGAAAUGUUCACAUCGAUGUUCUGUGACAAGGUGAGACUCGGGCUGGGUUCAAAUAAUCGAUUCUCCAAUCGAAAUCAAUCUGUAUUUGAGUUAUCAGUUAUCAAUAUGUAAAAACCCAAUGUUUAUAUAAUGUUAGGGUUAACUUUUUGGGGGUCAAUUCUGGAAACAACCCGGUGUAUUAUUAUGGUGUAAAAUAUAUAAUUUAAUGUAUGGCAUAUGUUCUCUGGGAAUCCCUUUUUAUAUCCGAGCAAAAUUGGUACUGUAACUAAACUUUCAAUCGGGACCCGGGGAAUCAGAAGGGAUUGGAUGACUAAUCGUUGGCGAUACCCAGCCCUAGUGACAGCUUGGGGACGGUUGUUUGACACAACGGCAUGUUGAAGUAACUUUGAUUACCAAAAAAACAGAAGUGUCAGAGAGUAGUUGGAAGUGUGUCUGCUCUCUCUCUGCUGCGUCAGACAUGAUCACGGGCAGUACAGCCACAGUGCAGCUGAAAAACACUGAUCAGCCUUUGUUCCCACGACAACAAAAGCUUAGGUAAAAUGAUUAAUGACAUUACUUUUGUUGAUCAACUUUUCCACUGAGCAGGUGGACGGUGUAGAAACUAUGCACUCCAGAGGGAGAAAAUGGGCAUGCUUAUUACGUGUGAGCCUCUUGUCUGGUUUUAUAUUAAAAAAAAUCUGUAUGAGAAAUUCAGCAAUAAAAUGCAGCAUGGUGCCAACUG
This is a long non-coding RNA of Etheostoma spectabile (orangethroat darter), 3910 nucleotides long. RefSeq lists it as uncharacterized. The transcript has 2 exons. The record is from RefSeq and is a predicted model, not a curated record. Lineage: Eukaryota; Metazoa; Chordata; Actinopteri; Perciformes; Percidae.